This 68-nucleotide transfer RNA is filed under the name Bradypus torquatus (Maned three-toed sloth). RNAcentral's name for it is "tRNA-Cys". The record is from RNAcentral. Lineage: Eukaryota; Metazoa; Chordata; Mammalia; Pilosa; Bradypodidae.
GGUCUUGUGGUGAAUACAUCAUACUGAAGUGCAAAUUCAGCGAAGCAGCUUUAACUCUGCCGAGGCUU